UUCCACAGCACGGGGCCACCGAUUGAGCC
Molecule: small RNA, 29 nt
Filed under: Bombyx mori (domestic silkworm)
Lineage: Eukaryota; Metazoa; Arthropoda; Insecta; Lepidoptera; Bombycidae
Description: ovarian small RNA-37109
Source: RNAcentral